UCGCAUCUUACGAUGGCAGUCUCGUUAGAGUCCCCAGCUUAACCUGAUGGUAACUAACAAUGAGGGUUGCGCUCGUUAUGGCACUUAAGCCGACACCUCACGGCACGAGCUGACGACAACCAUGCAGCACCUACACAUUUGCCCCGAAGGGAAGGCACGUCUCUGUGCCGGUCAAAUGCAUUUCAAGCCCGGGUAAGGUUCCUCGCGUAUCAUCGAAUUAAACCACAUGUUCCUCCGCUUGUGCGGGCCCCCGUCAAUUCCUUUGAGUUUCAUUCUUGCGAACGUACUCCCCAGGUGGAUUACUUAACGCUUUCGCUAAGCCGCUUGCUGUGUAUCGCAAACAGCGAGUAAUCAUAGUUUACUGCGUGGACUAC
This 374-nucleotide unclassified non-coding RNA is filed under the name uncultured Bacteroidales bacterium. RNAcentral's name for it is "contains 16S-23S intergenic spacer region". The record is from RNAcentral. Lineage: Bacteria; Pseudomonadati; Bacteroidota; Bacteroidia; Bacteroidales.